This 144-nucleotide non-coding RNA is filed under the name Vaucheria litorea. The record is from RNAcentral. Lineage: Eukaryota; Xanthophyceae; Vaucheriales; Vaucheriaceae.
AAAGAAAAUGCGGAAUGGCCUCAAUAUUUGUCAUAGUUUGGUUUGUAAUGAUUUCGAGUUCAUUUUUAAUUGGCUUUUUGUUUUACCUGAUACCGAACUUGAUAAAAAAUAGCACGGAAAUGAACGUAGAUAUUCCAUUUAAAA